RNAcentral lists this ribosomal RNA (498 nucleotides) under uncultured bacterium. RNAcentral's name for it is "partial 16S ribosomal RNA". It matches the Rfam family "Bacterial small subunit ribosomal RNA", at positions 30 to 523 of the family's 1533-position model. The record is from RNAcentral.
AUUGAACGCUGGCGGCAUGCCUUACACACGCAAGUCGAACGGUAACAGGUCUUCGGAUGCUGACGAGUGGCGAACGGGUGAGUAAUGCAUCGGAACGUGCCCAGUAGUGGGGGAUAGCCCGGCGAAAGCCGGAUUAAUACCACAUACGACCUGAGGUUGAAAGGGGGGGAUCGCAAGACCUCUCGCUAUUGGAGCGGCCGAUGUCAGAUUAGCUAGUUGGUGGGGUAAAGGCCUACCAAGGCAACGAUCUGUAGUUGGUCUGAGAGGACGACCAGCCACACUGGGACUGAGACACGGCCCAGACUCCUACGGGAGGCAGCAGUGGGGAAUUUUGGACAAUGGGCGCAAGCCUGAUCCAGCAAUGCCGCGUGCAGGAAGAAGGCCUUCGGGUUGUAAACUGCUUUUGUCAGGGAAGAAAUCUUCUGGGUUAAUACCUCGGGAGGAUGACGGUACCUGGAGAAUAAGCACCGGCUAACUACGUGCCAGCAGCCGCCGUAA